Molecule: long non-coding RNA, 508 nt
Organism: Oreochromis aureus
Lineage: Eukaryota; Metazoa; Chordata; Actinopteri; Cichliformes; Cichlidae
Source: Ensembl
CAGACAUGAACGCUUGCGCUGGCAUAGGAAGUAUUAUGAACAGCUGAUCGGAUUAGCAAAGCCUGUUUCUGCAAUUUUAUGUUUUUGUUGCUGCAAGUGCUUUUAAUGCAAUUUUUGCUAAACCAUAUGUGGAAGAUAACCGUGACCUAGGACAAGCUGAUGGCAUAAGAUCAUGCCAAGCGGCCACCAGGAGUCAGCCGGUACAUACAUGAGCAGACGCAAAGAACCACCAACGCACCGACGUCUGAGGGCAUCAGCCACCGGCAAUGAGUGUGAGUCAGCUCCUGGAGAGAGGAGACCUCCUGCAAAGAUGCAACAGCCUCCCCACUAGUUGGAGAGCCCUCCAGUUGGGCCGAUGCACCAGAGGUCCCCUGCACCAGGGCUGAGCCCCUAUGGACCCACCUGCCUACAACUCUGGUGACACAACAACCAGGACCCAAGCCCCCAAAGCCCAUCCCUACCCCGAUAUCAACCACAAAAGCGAAGGCACGACCAAACCAUGACCCCC